RNAcentral lists this ribosomal RNA (730 nucleotides) under uncultured bacterium. Its description in RNAcentral is "bacterial SSU rRNA". It matches the Rfam family "Bacterial small subunit ribosomal RNA", at positions 771 to 1501 of the family's 1533-position model. The record is from RNAcentral.
AACAGGAUUAGAUACCCUGGUAGUCCACGCCGUAAACGAUGUCGACUUGGAGGUUGUGCCCUUGAGGCGUGGCUUCCGGAGCUAACGCGUUAAGUCGACCGCCUGGGGAGUACGGCCGCAAGGUUAAAACUCAAAUGAAUUGACGGGGGCCCGCACAAGCGGUGGAGCAUGUGGUUUAAUUCGAUGCAACGCGAAGAACCUUACCUACUCUUGACAUCCACGGAACUUAGCAGAGAUGCUUUGGUGCCUUCGGGAACCGUGAGACAGGUGCUGCAUGGCUGUCGUCAGCUCGUGUUGUGAAAUGUUGGGUUAAGUCCCGCAACGAGCGCAACCCUUAUCCUUUGUUGCCAGCGGUUCGGCCGGGAACUCAAAGGAGACUGCCAGUGAUAAACUGGAGGAAGGUGGGGAUGACGUCAAGUCAUCAUGGCCCUUACGAGUAGGGCUACACACGUGCUACAAUGGCAUAUACAAAGAGAAGCGACCUCGCGAGAGCAAGCGGACCUCAUAAAGUAUGUCGUAGUCCGGAUUGGAGUCUGCAACUCGACUCCAUGAAGUCGGAAUCGCUAGUAAUCGUGGAUCAGAAUGCCACGGUGAAUACGUUCCCGGGCCUUGUACACACCGCCCGUCACACCAUGGGAGUGGGUUGCAAAAGAAGUAGGUAGCUUAACCUUCGGGAGGGCGCUUACCACUUUGUGAUUCAUGACUGGGGUGAAGUCGUAACAAGGUAACC